RNAcentral lists this ribosomal RNA (252 nucleotides) under uncultured bacterium. Its description in RNAcentral is "partial 16S ribosomal RNA". It matches the Rfam family "Bacterial small subunit ribosomal RNA", at positions 525 to 776 of the family's 1533-position model. The record is from RNAcentral.
ACGUAGGUGGCGAGCGUUAUCCGGAUUUACUGGGCGUAAAGCGCGUGUAGGCGGUUUCGUAAGUCGGAUGUGAAAGCUCCUGGCUCAACUGGGAGAGGCCAUUCGAUACUGCGGGACUUGAGGUCGGGAGAGGGACGUGGAAUUCCCGGUGUAGUGGUGGAAUGCGUAGAUAUCGGGAGGAACACCAGUGGCGAAGGCGGCGUCCUGGCCCGCACCUGACGCUAAGACGCGAAAGCGUGGGUAGCGAACGGG